UCUCACAUGAGGUCCCGGCGAGAAGGACCUGCCUCCAUCAGAUUCACACUCGGGAGAGGGGCCCGGCCUCCAGGAGCGCCAGGCAGAGGAGAGGGCACCCAUUAGGAAGAAGAACACAGAGGCCAUGGGAGUGAAAAGUUUGAUGCUGGAAAGCAAUAGUAGCACAUUCUGCUACAGAGCGGAAUGAAAAACCCUGGAGAGCAAAUUCCUGAGCCAGAGAAUGGAGCGGAGGAACCAGCCAAGGAGGAUAAAGAGAACUGUGUGCUCUGAGGCUGCCCGACCCUGAGCUCCAGAACAGACCAUCGAGUUCAGGAGACAAGCAUGUCAGCCAUGACACAAGGCAGAUGAGAGGGACCCAGCGUCCACACGUGGAGGCAGCAGGGGCAGCCGAUCCAUACAAACAGGCCGACCAUCAGGGCUGGUCCCAGGCCACCAGGCCGGGUGCAAUGCAGAAAUGGAGAUCUGCCCCGGGGAAGGCA
This 479-nucleotide non-coding RNA is filed under the name Pan troglodytes (chimpanzee). The record is from RNAcentral. Lineage: Eukaryota; Metazoa; Chordata; Mammalia; Primates; Hominidae.